UGGGGAAUCUUGCGCAAUGGGCGAAAGCCUGACGCAGCGACGCCGCGUGCGGGAUGACGGCCUUCGGGUUGUAAACCGCUGUCGGGAGGGACGAAGCUCUGACGGUACCUUCAAAGGAAGCACCGGCUAACUCUGUGCCAGCAGCCGCGGUAAUACAGAGGGUGCGAGCGUUGUCCGGAAUCACUGGGCGUAAAGGGCGCGUAGGCGGCCCGGUAAGUCGGAGGUGAAACGCUGCGGCUCAACCGCAGCACUGCCUUCGAGACUGCCAGGCUUGAGCACGGUAGAGGCUGGUGGAAUUCCCGGUGUAGCGGUGGAAUGCGUAGAGAUCGGGAAGAACAUCGGUGGCGAAGCGGCCAGCUGGGCCGUUGCUGACGCUGAGGCGCGACAGCGUGGGGAGCAAACAGGAUUAGAUACCCUGGUAGUCCACGCCCGUAAACGAUGGGUACUAGGUCGUCGGGGGGAGCGGACCCCCUCGGUGCCGUCGCUAACGCAGU
This 494-nucleotide ribosomal RNA is filed under the name uncultured bacterium. RNAcentral's name for it is "bacterial SSU rRNA". It matches the Rfam family "Bacterial small subunit ribosomal RNA", at positions 355 to 861 of the family's 1533-position model. The record is from RNAcentral.